Molecule: long non-coding RNA, 667 nt
Organism: Paramisgurnus dabryanus
Lineage: Eukaryota; Metazoa; Chordata; Actinopteri; Cypriniformes; Cobitidae
Source: RefSeq, a predicted model, not a curated record
CUGUCUCUUUAGAUGCGAGGGCAAAAUAGCACUUUAUGGACUUCUACAGAGGACAUCAUGUUUAAUACGGUUCCGGAAAAAUCCAGUCAGAAGUUGUUCACGGAGUUUUCACAAUAACUGCUUCUCAUGAACCGAAGCUGGAUUUGCGCGACGUCUCCUCUUGAAAGUUGGAUUACUGUGCACUUCUGGAUCACAGACUAUUCGCAGCUGUACACAUCCUUCUACACUGUAUGCAAACAUGCAACAUCAUAACACACAGUACAAGGAGUCAGACUGGCAUAUGAGGAGCAAAGGAACCCAGGCAGUAGCAUCGUUUCACAAUGUUUCCAUCAUCAUCAUCAGUGGAUGCCUUUGCCGUCCGUAGCCUGAGAUUUCAGAUUUGCAGCAAAAAAAUUGAUUUUCUCAUUUAUUGGAAUGCUGUGCAGGUAUUUGUACCUUGCAGCCAUCCAUUACAAUGUCACCAAGCCGUAACAAAAGCAGGAGAGGGAAAGUACAAGGCUAUGUUCCCAAAACACAAAUGACAUACCUUAUGUGGAGGAUGUGAUCAGGCUUGUGUUUGAUGAGGUAUUUGAAGAUAAGCUGAAAGAAACCCCGAUUCCAAUGGACCUGGCAUCACAGUUUGAGAGACCUUCAAAGGAGGACGUGAUUGCAUGCCAUCUUCAGUGCA